Cucurbita maxima (winter squash) is the source of this 1113-nucleotide RNA transcript. It is a transcript of the gene named thioredoxin-like protein YLS8, with no coding region annotated. The transcript has 4 exons. NCBI's taxonomy places the organism in Eukaryota, Viridiplantae, Streptophyta, Magnoliopsida, Cucurbitales, Cucurbitaceae. The record is from RefSeq and is a predicted model, not a curated record.
UUUGGGCCUAUGGGUUAUGGGUUAUGAACGUCUCUGGCUCCCACGUUUUCCAAGUUCUUAAUCUUCUUUGAUUUUAGGCACAAUUGGGAGUGGUUAAUGAGUGGGUCGAGGUGGGCUCAACCGAUGUAGAACUGGCCCCAUCAUUUUCCCUCUCCUCUCUUCCUUGUUCAGCGCCACAUCCCUCCUAUGACCAUCUUCGGCGACCACCUCGACGCGACGCUUGCAUCUCUGAUCGUCCUUUAGCAACGUUGACGAGCAUUCGUUAAGUGGGGGUGUACCCAGGCUAGCGAGCGACGGGCUCUCUCCCUCUCGCCUCUGGUGCGAGCAGCAACACACGAACGUUCUGGCGAUUGGAAAUUUCCGACCAGCGGCGACCCGAUCCACGGCACCCACGCUCUUCUGCGAUCGAUCUCCUCCCUCUCUUACGGUGGCGACAAAGCUGUUUAAACACCUUCGAAGACAUUUCGUUAAGGAUUGAAGCUGUUAUUGUGAGAAACAUUGGGUGGAAGCUAACAAUUGAGUGAGAGAUGUCGUACUUGCUGCCGCAUCUUCAUUCAGGAUGGGCUGUUGACCAGGCAAUUCUGGCUGAAGAAGAGCGCCUUGUGGUCAUUCGUUUUGGUCAUGACUGGGACGAGACUUGUAUGCAGAUGGAUGAAGUGUUGGCAUCAGUAGCAGAGACGAUCAAGAACUUCGCAGUGAUAUACCUUGUGGAUAUCACAGAGGUUCCUGACUUCAACACAAUGUACGAGCUGUAUGAUCCAUCCACUGUGAUGUUCUUCUUCAGGAACAAGCACAUAAUGAUAGAUCUUGGGACCGGAAACAACAAUAAAAUAAACUGGGCACUUAAGGAUAAGCAGGAGUUCAUAGAUAUCAUUGAAACAGUGUAUCGUGGAGCAAGGAAAGGACGCGGUUUGGUCAUUGCACCAAAGGACUAUUCAACCAAGUAUCGCUACUAACAUGUUUUGCUGCUGCUGCAUCUGCUACUUCUUCUAUGUUUUGGAUAAAUUUGUGGAAAUAAAAGAUUCAAAUACUACACAGUCGGAAUCCAAAGCUACCAAUGGACAUUUCUUACAGGUUUCAUGUGUGUUUUAUACUUCCAAUGUCAUUACGCAA